This 253-nucleotide ribosomal RNA is filed under the name uncultured bacterium. RNAcentral describes it as "partial 16S ribosomal RNA". It matches the Rfam family "Bacterial small subunit ribosomal RNA", at positions 524 to 776 of the family's 1533-position model. The record is from RNAcentral.
UACGGAGGGUGCAAGCGUUGCUCGGAAUUAUUGGGCGUAAAGGGUAGGUAGGUGGUCUCAUUUGUCUGGGGUGAAAGCCUUGAGCUUAACUCAAGAAGUGCCCCAGAAACGGUGAGACUAGAGUUCUAGAGAGGGUCGUGGAAUUCCCGGUGUAGCGGUGAAGUGCGUAGAGAUCGGGAGGAACACCAGAGGCGAAGGCGGCGACCUGGAUAGAUACUGACACUCAACUACGCAAGCGUGGGGAGCAAACAGG